This is a long non-coding RNA of Bradysia coprophila, 180 nucleotides long. The record is from RefSeq and is a predicted model, not a curated record. NCBI's taxonomy places the organism in Eukaryota, Metazoa, Arthropoda, Insecta, Diptera, Sciaridae.
CAAAAAAUCGCGUUAGGGGGGAAAAUAAGUUUGAGAAACGCUGAUUUUUAAUAUGGCUUCAAAACAACAACAACAUCACGAGAGAACAAAGUAGCAGUGAUUCAUAAACGUAUUUUCCACCUUAAUAAUUGUAGUUUGGUUGCUAGGGAGGGUAUUGAUAACAAACAUCGAUAAAAUAUA